CGGCCAAUCAAGGUGUCGACUGUUACUGACCAGACAGGAAUGCAAGAAGGUGGGACCAAUGCUGGUGACUUCGAUGAUGAUGAAGGUGGUGGCUUGGCAUUGAAUGCAUGUUCUCGAGCUCUUCUGAUGCAGAAGUUGGAUCGCAGCGGCACUGCCUCGAGUAUUACUGGUUCACUAGGAACUCCUGCCAUCAGCACUGNNNNNNNNAACAGCACCAAUCCUUGGUGCUGCACCUGUAGUUUCUCCUGUUGUUGCUCCUCUUAUGUCAGG
RNAcentral lists this unclassified non-coding RNA (270 nucleotides) under Hevea brasiliensis (rubber tree). The record is from RNAcentral. Lineage: Eukaryota; Viridiplantae; Streptophyta; Magnoliopsida; Malpighiales; Euphorbiaceae.